This 69-nucleotide transfer RNA is filed under the name Ictidomys tridecemlineatus (thirteen-lined ground squirrel). Its description in RNAcentral is "Spermophilus tridecemlineatus (thirteen-lined ground squirrel) tRNA". It matches the Rfam family "tRNA". From Rfam's summary of the family: Transfer RNA (tRNA) molecules are approximately 80 nucleotides in length. Their secondary structure includes four short double-helical elements and three loops (D, anti-codon, and T loops). Lineage: Eukaryota; Metazoa; Chordata; Mammalia; Rodentia; Sciuridae. The record is from Rfam by way of RNAcentral.
GGGGUUGUGGCUCACUGGUAGAGUGCUUGCCUUGCAAGUGUGAGGCCCUGGGUUUGAUUCUCAGCACCA